UUGUUACGGAAAGCAAAAAUAUAUAUGUGAAACGUGUUAAUGAGUAGGAACAGUUAAGUGGCAAAAAUGGGAGCAAUGAAGAAGAAGAAGCUGUGUGUGUGGGGUCUCGUGUGUCGUCUCCGCUCUGUUGUCUCUUUUUUGCU
Molecule: non-coding RNA, 143 nt
Organism: Caenorhabditis elegans
Lineage: Eukaryota; Metazoa; Nematoda; Chromadorea; Rhabditida; Rhabditidae
Source: Ensembl